GUCACAGGAAGGUGUUGCGUGAUAACA
RNAcentral lists this small RNA (27 nucleotides) under Bombyx mori (domestic silkworm). Its description in RNAcentral is "ovarian small RNA-17700". The record is from RNAcentral. Lineage: Eukaryota; Metazoa; Arthropoda; Insecta; Lepidoptera; Bombycidae.